This is an RNA transcript of Erigeron canadensis, 4917 nucleotides long. RefSeq lists it as uncharacterized. The record is from RefSeq and is a predicted model, not a curated record. The transcript has 14 exons. NCBI's taxonomy places the organism in Eukaryota, Viridiplantae, Streptophyta, Magnoliopsida, Asterales, Asteraceae.
UCAGCAUUCACAUUUUGAGUAUCACUAUUAUCAUAUUCACAUAUCUAUAUAUACAUCUCCGAACUACAAUUGUUGGAUCUAUAAUUAAGUUUACAACUUUGAUCAUUUGGCGCUGCAAUCUCCCGGGGUCCUAGUUACGUACAAAAGUAAAGCAUAUUAUAUAAUGUCUGAAAAGAAGGUGCAGGGAGUAGAUGGAUUGGAUGACCUUCGAAUCCCAUUGGAUAAGAUAAAAUUCGGUAAGAAACUGGAAGUGCAGGGGUAUGGAACAGUGUUUGAAGGCCAGCUGUAUGAGCAACAGCAAGCAGUAGUAGUGGCGUUGAAACAGUUAAACAUUACGAAUCUAGCUGCCAUCAAACCAAAACUGUUGGACGAGAUUCUGAGAAUAUCUCGUUUUCGGCAACAUCCAAAUGUGGUGGCUCUUGUGGGAUUUUGUGACGAGAGGAGCAACGAGAUCAUACUGGUUUACGAGUACGUAGCUGGUGGGAAUCUGGAAGACAAGAUGAGGAGUCGUCUUAACACGAUCCAGCGUCUAGAGAUCUGUCUAGAUGCUGCCCGCGGACUUGAUUAUUUGCAUACUGGUAGUAGUGUCAUGGUUCACGGGAACAUCAAGCCUUCGAAAAUCCUCCUGCAGCUGAAGAAGAAGAAUGACGAUUCAUCAUCAUCUACUGCUACUACUGCGGGGAGUAAAUUCGAAGCAAAGGUUUCGAGUUUUGGGUUGUCGAAAAUAGUUCCUGGGGGACAGAAGAAUAAUACUAAGGAAUCAUCAUCAUCGUCUACACAUGAUGAUGAGAAUGAUAUAAAGAAGACUACUAGGAAAGAAUAUGAUGUAUACUGUUUCGGGGUGAUGUUACUGGAAGUGUUGUGUGGCGUAUCGGAGCUGGUUGAUACAGAUGAUUACCAGGAGCGGCAUGUCACCGAAUUGGUCCCCAAGAGGUUAUUGGAGGAGGAACAAAACAAUAAUAAUAGGCUACGCAAAAUUGUGCAUUUCGAUAUAAGAAAAGAAAUCAAAACCGACGCAUUGGACACUUAUGCCAGAAUCGCGUGCCAGUGUGUGCUGGAAAAUCCCGAAGCCCGUCCAACCAUGCCUCAAGUCGUCCAACAACUUGAAUUAGCAUUGCAAUUACAGGGAGGGGAGGUCUCAUAUGUCAAAAUUCCUGCUACUUAUAAAUAUAACAUGGCUGCUAGUCAACCGGAUGAAAAUUCCAAGGCUGACAAUAAUACACCACACCAACAUACUAUUGCUACGGAAGAGGCAGGCCCACAUGUUCCAGUUUCAAGCAGCGUACAUGGUGAGAGCCUACCGAGUAUCAAUGAUAAAUCAAACGUAGUGACUAUCAACGUUGAAAACAGAGACUAUGAACAAAACAACGUUCCUCCAAAGGAGAUUGACAACAGUAGUGUGAUAACAAGCACCAACACCACCGAACAACUCAACUCCAACAAGCUAUCAACUAUAGCUCAUCAAAAGGAAGGCGAAGAUCAAACUACACAACUUGCUACAUUUACGGAAUCUAGCAACGGUGACUCCAAUACAAGCCAGGAAGUGCAGAAUUCUGGAAUUUUGAAGUCAGGCAGCAGGGAUUUCAGCAAAUUACCCAACGAAAACCAGAUUGGUGACGGCCUAGAACACCUUCGAAUUCCAUUUGAAAAGAUUACAUUUGGUAAGAAAAUCGAUGUGCGUGGCUACGGGAGCAUAUUUGAAGGAGAACUCGAUCAUCAACCAGUCGCUUUGAGACGGCUAAACAUCACAAACCUUGCUAACAUCAAGCCCAAGCUUUUAGCUGAGAUUCUAAGAGUCGCAAAGUUCAAGCAACACCCCAACCUUGUUGCUCUUAUCGGAUUUUGCGACGAGAAGAACAAUGAAAUAAUACUUGUUUACGAGUAUGUCUCGAGUGGGAAUUUGGCAGAUAAGAUGAGUAAACAUCUCAAUACAAUCCAGCGCCUUGAGAUUUGUCUUGGUGCUGCUCGUGGAAUCGAAUUUUUGCAUUGUGGUGUUGAUGACUCGACACCUGGUAUCAUUCAUGGUGACGUUAAACGUUCGAAGAUUCUGUUGAAUUCAUCAUAUUUCAAUUCAUCAAAAUUCGAAGCUAAAGUUUCGGGUUUCGGAUUAACCAAACUACUGCCUGGAGAGGUUCAGAUUGUUCCAAAAUCCAUCGAUCCAGUGUAUGAAGUAACAGGCAUUUUGACCAAAGAAUCUGACAUCUACUCUUUCGGUGUGUUGUUGCUUGAAGUCUUAUGCGGGGUGUCAGAACUAGUAGACACCGACGAUUAUCAGGAACGACACGUUACUGAAUUGGUCCCAAAGAGGCUGGAACAAAAUAAAUUACGCAACAUUGUUCAUUUUGGUAUUAGGGAUGAGGUAACAACUGAAUGUUUGGAAACUUAUGCCAAAAUCGCCUGCCAAUGUGUGUUGAAAAAUCCUCAAGAUCGACCUAACAUGGCUGAGGUUGUCAUACAACUCGAGAAAGCAUUGAGACUACAGGGCGAGGAGGUAUCCACUAUGGUUGGCAGUGAUGGCAAUGGUCUGCCUCGAGAAACUAUCCAAGAGGAUGCUCAGGGAGAGGAUGAUAACGGGGAGAUUAUACGUAGGGACAUAGCAGAGGAAGAAUCUCAUGCAAAAAUUACAAGCGUCAUCAUGCAGAAGCCGAGCACUGGUGUUCCAACCCCAAAGCUAUACAGCAUGGAUGGUGAGAGUGGGCCUGAUAAAACCCAUACUGAAGUUUUGAAUCGGGAAAAUGACAACAAUGUGUUAAUAAAUUUCAAUGAUUCAGAAACCACAAAAGAAGUCAUAUAUGAGCUAAACUCCAACGACAUGUCAAACAGUACCAUGGAAAAUGAGGACGAUAACCAGAGCACAAAACUUGUCACGUUUUUAGUAUCUAGCAACAGUGACACCAGUAUCUCCGAUCAUCCAACAAAACAUAACUCCGCGCCCGACAGUAGAAACUUUGAUAACCUUCCGUAUGAGAACUAUGAUGUGUUUAAAGACGACCUGGAAAACCUUCGAAUUCCAUUCAACAAGAUUAAAGUUGGUACGCAAAUCGAUGUGCGUGGCUACGGGAGCAUAUUUGAAGGAGAAUUUGACAAUCAACAUGUUGCAUUGAAACGGUUAAACAUCACAAACCUCAGUAACAUCAAACCCAAGCUUUUGGCAGAGAUUCUAAUGAUUGCUAGAUUCCGAAAACACCCCAAUCUUGUGACUCUGAUAGGUUUUUGUGACGAAAAGAGUAACGAAAUAAUACUCGUUUAUGAAUAUGUCUCCAGUGGCAAUCUAGCAGAUAAGAUGAAUAGACAUCUUACCACAAUCCAGCGCCUUGAAAUCUGUCUAGAUGCUGCUCGUGGACUCGAUUAUUUACAUACUGGUGCUGACUCUGCACGUGGAAUCAUUCAUGGUAGCAUCAGACUUUCGAAGAUCCUGUUGAAUUCAGAUUCAACUGAAUCGAAGUUCAAAGCUAAGGUUUCGGGUUUUGGUUUGUCCAAGCAACUGCCUGGACACGUUCAGAUUGCUCCGAAAUCCACAGAUCCUAUGUAUGAAGUCACAGGAAAAUUGAUGAAGGAAUCGGACGUCUACUCGUUCGGUGUGUUGUUGCUUGAAGUUUUAUGUGGGGUCCCCGAGUUGGUAGAUACUGAUGAUUAUCACGAACGGCAUGUUACCGAAUUGAUCCCAAAGAGACUGGAACAAAAUAUGUUGCGUAAGGUAGUGCACUUCGAUAUUAGAGAUGAAAUAACAACAGAAUCCUUGGAAACGUAUGCCAGAAUAGCAUGCCAAUGCGUGAUUAAGAACCCUGAAGAACGCCCUACCAUGGCUGAGGUGGUCGUAGAACUUGAGAAAGCAUUGAGAUUACAGGGAGGGGGAGUAUCUUAUGUCCAAAUACUUGGUAGCACUAACAGCAAAGGUGUACCUGAAGGAAUCGUACAAGAAGAUGUUCAGGAAAGGGAUGAAGAUGCUGACAAGUUGAGCAUGGACAUAGCAGAGGAAGAACCUGAGGAAACUAUUGACGAUGUUGCUAUGCAAGGGGAGAGCUUUCCCAUUCGGAUGUUAGGCAGUGCAAAUGACGAGAGUGUACCCGAUAUAACCAAAGAUGAUAAGAAAAAUAAUGACGUUAGCACAAAUGAUCCAACAUCCAACGAGGAAUCAAUUAUCAUUGUGGAAAAGGAAGUUGAUGCUGAAAGCAAGAUAAUUACAUCUUCGGAUUCUAACGAAGGCGAGGAUGAUAACUCUGAUAUGCAAGGGCAGAGUACAGCAGAAAAAACUGGUAAAGAGAGCAGUAACAGUUAUGCUCUAAAGAUGGGCACGGCUGAUCUUGAAAGCAAUGUAAUCAUGGAUGAUAAAAUUACAGAAACGGAAAUUACAUUGGAUGUGCAGAACCCUGCAAUCCCGGAUCCAGGCAAUGAGGAUGCUGGAAAUCAAUGCUCAGUGUUCGAAAACGAGAAGAAACCCGAGUUGAUUGUUGAUAUCAGAAGAGAUACCAGUGAUUUUCCUGUCAAUGAUAAGUUGAUAUCCAUCGAAAAGAACCAAGAUUUUGUAAGCAAAAGAAGUGAUAGUACGUGCUCGGAGUCUAGCAACGGUGAUGACACCACUCCCUCAGAUUCUCUGCUGAAAAAGAGUCCGCCCAAUGGUACUAGCAUGAAAAAAACAUCAAAUGGCUCCACAAGCUACUGCUGCUGUUCCUGGUGGUGCUACCUCUUUGACAGUCUUCAUAUGUUACAGAAUUGUUUUCUACGGAGGUCAAUUCUGGAAUGAACUGGUCUCGUGUUUUAACAGGAUCAUCGGACAAGGUUCAAGCAAAAGUGAUUAAGGAGAAUAGCGAGCUCCUCAAUGUGUUGCAUAUUUAUUUAAAUUGUUGUUUGUGAAGUUUUGUAAACGUUGCUUCAACACGAGAGUGAUGUAUACAUACAGAUGUUUAUCGUUUGGUA